GGUCCAGACUCCUACGGGAGGCAGCAGUGGGGAAUAUUGCACAAUGGGGGAAACCCUAAUGCAGCGACGCCGCGUGAGCGAUGAAGUAUUUCGGUAUGUAAAGUUCUAUCAGCAGGGAAGAAAAUGACGGUACCUGACUAAGAAGCCCCGGCUAACUACGUGCCAGCAGCCGCGGGAAUACGUAGGGGGCAAGCGUUAUCCGGAUUUACUGGGUGUAAAGGGAGCGCAGGCGGCCUUGCAAGUCUGAUGUGAAAGGCCGGGGCCCAACCCCGGGACUGCAUUGGAAACUGCGAGGCUGGAGUGUCGGAGAGGCAGGCGGAAUUCCUAGUGUAGCGGUGAAAUGCGUAGAUAUUAGGAGGAACACCAGUGGCGAAGGCGGCCUGCUGGACGAUGACUGACGCUGAGGCUCGAAAGCGUGGGGAGCAAACAGGAUUAGAUACCCUUGUA
RNAcentral lists this ribosomal RNA (447 nucleotides) under uncultured bacterium. Its description in RNAcentral is "partial 16S ribosomal RNA". It matches the Rfam family "Bacterial small subunit ribosomal RNA", at positions 328 to 792 of the family's 1533-position model. The record is from RNAcentral.